UUCCCCCUUUUUUCUUGCAUCGUGGGGGCAGCUGUUUAGACACUUAGGUUUUUUGAGUUUCAAAUUGUGUUUUGAUAUAGAUAUUGAAAGUGGCCACAGUAGGGAUCGAGCCUUCACUAACCAUAUAGAUAUUCAUAUCGCGCAUGGUAUGAAUAUCUCUUACCUGAACAUUUGAUCAUUCAAUUAUCAAUAUUGCGGUUCAUUUGCAAGUUUUAUGUUCAGUCCUGCUAUAUGAGAAUCAGUAUCUGGAGCAAAAUCUCAAGAUCUCAUCCAGUUCACCAUCACAAAUUAAGGUUUUGAAACCUGAUAGAACUUGACUUUGAAACUAUGAUCAGGUAUUUCAAAGAGUUCUUAAAGCAUACGCCACAAAACUUUUUGUAAAACUACCUAAAGGUGGUAUGGGGCUUGUUGCAGCAGCCACAGGUAUAGAUGGACAGAUAAAGGUAGCGUAUUUUACAACUUUUUCUGGCUCUUUUUUAAAGUUCUUUUAUGUUUGCUUUUUGAGCAACAAUUGUAAUCAUGCAGACUUCAGACAGAGAUGAAAGAGUGAUCUGUUACAUAGUGAAUUCAGCUGAAUACUGCCAUAAGACGGUUAGUUAUUAAAUGCUUAUUUUUUCCUUAACAAUUAUCGUGACUACUGGGGUAUUUUACCUUGUCAUAUUGUUAAAGCUAUGGAGAACAGUUUAAAGCAACAUGGAAAGUUGGACUGUGUGCUUAAUAUUGUUGUUUAACAUGUUAUUCUUCCGGGAAGAACAUAAAAAUGUUAUUGCUGAAAUUAUAGCAAUGUCCCACCAGAAGGUUCUUUGGACUGUUUGUGCUUUGCUUGAGAGUGCAUGACCAAUUGCUAUGCCAUGUUCAAAUCUUCAACCUUUAUAGUUAACUAUUCACAAAAAACUUCAAAAUGCAUUAGGGUAAAAUCAAAUUUUUGGUUCUUGAGAGUUGUAUCACGAGAUUUUAUUCUACUUGUUGUCAAUGCUAAAUCUCAGAAUUUCAGAGUCAACUUCGCUAUUCCUUAACUGUUUUAGGCGAUAGAAUGCAAUUAAGCAAUGUUUUUUAUAAUGCUAGAGAAAAUUGUUCCAAAAUGGCAUCAUUAAUAUGAGAAAUUGUUUGAUGAGGGUUGAGACAAUAUUUGCUGGUUACAUAAUAUUUGAUUUUUGAAUUCCAGUCUGAUUGGGCAAAAUUGGUGUAAGUUUAUCAUAACUGCAGUUUGACAUUUUAUAGGCUGGCGAACUGGCUGAAAGCGUGUCAAAGAUAAUUGAUUCCCAAUAUGCUGAUGGUGUGGAUAUGUCAGAAGUACAGGUACUGUUUGACAUCAAUUUGCAUGCACUUGUGACUUACUCAUGCACGGUUCUCUUUGUCACUAGUUGCCAACUUAUAAGCGGUAUUGCAGGAUGAAUUUUCUGCAGUAAUAACAAAAGCACUUGUGACUCUAGUGCACGGCCUUGAAACGAAAUUUGAUAUAGAAAUGGCCACCAUGACACGCAUCCCAUGGAACACUCUAGAAAGUGUUGGUGACCAAUCAGGGUGAGUUGAUUUCUCCAUUUCUAAAAUGUAUUUAAUGGAGGUUAUGGUUCACUUCUAUGACCACAUUUUUUUUGCAGGUAUGUUAACAACAUAAAUCUGAUGCUGAAUAAUAGUAUUCCUGUGCUUGGAAGCCUUCUGUCUCCUAUUUAUUUCCAGUUCUUUUUGGACAAGGUAACCUGAAGGAUUUUUCUGUUUCCUGAUUUUAUGCAUUAACCUACAUAUUUUGUCAUUUAGCAACAAAAAGAAAUAAACUGAGGGCGCAACACUUCCUACAGAUCUUUUGCUGUUAGUAUUUCUUAUGUUGCAGAACAGUGACCUAUCUUCUUAGGAGCCUCUUUCCACGGUUGUGCUUAAUUAUACUCAUUGUCAGCUGUAGAAUAAGGCGAGUCUCAGUUUAGCCAUCUUUCUGCAAGGCAAACGUUUUUACAAGCCAAAUUAGUGUCCAUGCAUUUUGUUGCAUAACUUCCAGCGAAGAUCUACUUUCUUCAGUCCCUUUUUUCUCAACGUUGUUAACUUUGUUCUUGCAGCUUGCAUCAUCUCUUGGUCCCCGCUUCUAUGUCAACAUAUUUAAAUGCAAACAGAUAUCUGAGACUGGAGCCCAACAAGUAAUUGCUGCUUCUCUUUAAUGUGUGUCAUCAUUUUGAAAGAUCUAACUACUUAGAAAGUUUUAAUAUUUUGCAUUUGAGGCUUAUGUGCUAAGACCGACUUUGAAGCAAUACCUGCUGACAUAUUGGAAUCAUAUUGAAGCAUCUCACUAUUCAGAGUAUGCCUUAAAUUCUUUGCACCUGAGCAAGAAUCAUAUUGGAAUUUUCUCCUUGAAUGGAAAUGUCAUCUUGACUUAUCUAAAUAGCUACACGUGGAUCUAAGUGCUUUGAUUUCUAAGCCACUGCAUGGCAUUAGAGCUCUCUACUUCCCACAAUUAUAGCACUUGUUUCAAUGAGUAGUUUUUUUUAGAUUAUUUAUGUAAUUUUAGUUAAGGGACUCAAUGUCUCUCAUGUCUUCUAUCUUUAUGCUUUCAAAUGGUUUAUUGUCAACAAAGUGAAACAUGUAUUACUUUUGAUGUAUAUCUCUUGAUGCAUGCCUGUUGCUUUUCUCUUAAAUGAACAGCCAAAGGACACAUUCAACGCGCUAUAUUGGCAUGAUAUGUUUACUUUUGCAAUGGCUAGUAUCAUAGAAACCAUAGCUGAAAUAACGUAGUUCAAUUUGGAGAGAGAUUUUCUUCUGUGGUUUCAUUGAUUGAACUUUCAAUGAAAAGGACCUUGUCUAUUGUUGUUGCUGCUUUGAGUAGAAAUUGCCUCUCUAGUUUGUGCAAUCAAUUUGAUAUCUUGGAAUCAUUUUGACUGUAUCAUACUUUUUGCAGAUGCUGUUGGAUACUCAAGCCAUAAAGACAAUCCUUCUUGAUAUUCCUUCCCUAGGCCGACAAGUGAGUUGGUACAUUUACUAUAGUAUUAUUACUUCGAUGACAUCCAAAUAUAGGCUCUUGAAUCUCCUUUCACUUUUAUCCUGUUGUUGACGAAACAUCUAAACGUGCAAGUAACCUAGAUCUUUUCUUUUAGCAUUUUGUGGAUGUGGUUAACCAAUGAUGACAAAUUGUAUAUCGCUGACACUGGAACCAGUGAAAUUGACUUUCAAGUAUGGCCAACAAUAGCUUGGAACUCCGCUCACAUCUCUCUAUUGAUUUUGGUGCUUGCACUUUGAGCACCAUCAUUCAUCCCAACCUAUUUUUGGGACUUUUUAAGUUCCUGCUUCUGGUCAUUCAUGACUUACUUAUCCAGUGUUGAUUUAGAUUAUGAUUCUUGCUUGGUGUUUAUGAUGCCUUUUGCAAUUGACAAAUUUUUGCAGCUACAUUACACUCUGCAAUAGCUCUACAAGGAAACUUAAAAGUUAUGUCAUUACUAAUAGCUGGUCUUAGAUAAAAUGGCAGAAAAUUAUCGUAGGCCUAGAAUUUUCCAGCUGUCUCAGUUGACUGGAGAAGCAAUAGUAACUAGGGAGGCCCCGAUCAUGCUGAUUUGGUGCAAUUGCAAGGGACUUGGAAGUCACAAUGUUCAGUGGCAAAGGAACUGGUAAUCAGUUUCCUGUAAUAUGAGAAUAAAAGUUGAUGCUUUUAGGCAAGCAUAGAUAAGUGGGCAGACAAACAGUUCGGCUCACAUUUUUGCUUCGAUCUAGAGUCAGACAAUCCUGUAUCUGCAAAUGUUACUGGAAGUUACUUUAAUUUGCAUUGAUGCAGUUACAUGUUGCACGUUUGAUUGGAAUUCUUGGUCAAUAAUCCCUGUAGUUUUCAAAGAGAUUCUUUCGUCUUUUCUUCCAUUCAACAAACGAGCUCAUGCAUCCAUUUUGUAAUCUGUUUCUUCGGUGCAGACAACAACUGCUGCCAGCUAUUCUAAGUUUGUAAGCCGAGAGAUGAGCAAAGCUGAAGCACUUCUAAAGGUUCUCUUCUUUACUUAGUGCAGGCUGUUACUCUCAAGUACGCCUUCUCUGUCACACUCAUGAUUGUUUUCCCAUCACAGGUCAUUCUGUCUCCAGUUGAUUCUGUGGCGGAUACAUAUCGUGCAUUGUUACCAGAAGGAACAACAAUGGAGUUUCAGCGCGUUCUGGAGCUCAAGGUAGUUGACAGAAUAUUAUCUCUCAGGCAUAUUUUGAUAGAAUAUGAAAAAAGAAAAAUGAUAUUAUUUUUGUGACAUGGCAACAUUGGAUGGAGUACAUUGUCUUCUCUCGCAGUAAAGGAAAAACAGUCGUGAUCUCUUUCUUGUUUGCACAAUGGAAAAUUAAUCAGCAAGCAUUAAUGCUUCAUCAUUUCUCCACGAGUUCUUUACAUUUUAUCUAUCUUGUCCAGAGUUUUGUUUCUAUGCCGGUUGUGACGUGGAAUUGGCAUGUGCAGGGGCUCAAGAAGGCUGAUCAGCAAACUAUAUUGGAUGACUUCAACAAACUUGGACCUGGGAUCACGCAACCUCCUGUAGCACCGCCUGUUGUUCCUGCUGUCCCACUUCCCAUAAUAGCUCCUGCAAUGUCCAACAUUGCUCCAGUCGGCUUGAUCGCUUCCGGGGAGGAUGUGCUCACAAGAGCUGCUGCCCUCGGGCGAGGUGCCGCCUCCACAGGUUUCAAGAGGUUUCUUGCUCUCACGGAAGCAGCUAAGGAUAGGAAGGAUGGACCUUUUCGGAAGCUUUUCAAUGCUUAAUCAUAUGAAUCCUCCUCAUCUUUGUGAAUUUUCAUUUUUGAAUUUGAUUCCAUUUUUUGGUAAUUCCGUAUAGCUUACGCUUCAUUUGUAAUUCCUUCUCUAAGAUUAAACAAAAAUGAAAAAAAGGAGCUUUUCUUGAAGGACCAUGGUCUGUUCUUUUAAGAACAGCAGCAAGUUGACAGCCUAAAGAGAGAUCUACUUUUCUAAGGGGGUAAGAAACUUUAACGUUACGGCAUAGCGCAUAUCUUUUUCCGAUUCUUACCGACCUCGUGUUGAUGGAGAUCGGUCGCUGGUCGAGAAGGAAUUAGUUGUUUGCAGAAACAGCGGUGCAAAUUUUUCUGACUUCUUGAACAGAUGAAACGAAUACGAUGCUUGUGUCAACUGAUAAAGAACGGAAUAACUUAGGAAAGCUGCGGGUCUGCUUUCUCAACCUGUGUGCCGAAAAAGUGAUACAUCUCGAGUAUAAUUAGCGUCUUUGGCACAAGCAUCAGCUGCUCUUUGCAAAAAAUCUUUACAAUCUAUCAGCCCAGGCAAACUUUCAGACCGGUUAAUUUGUCCAAAUUUUCUCCGGCGACGACAGAAUCAGAAAACUGCUCCAAUGGAAGUAACUCGGCACCCUAAGACACUAGCUGUAGCUACCGUGUAUGUCGACGUCGCAAAGCCAAGAACCAUGGGUUAUUCUGCUCCUACGGAAGGUGAAGCAUCCAUAUCGCUCGACCAGCUCCCAAAACAGCUGUUCUGGGAGACUCGGGAACUCUACUGGUGGAACGGCUUCUGGUACCGCCCCCGCCAUCUCGAGGCCACCCUGGCUUUUCGCUCACGGUUCCGGCCACGAGACGACGACGUCCUCUUGGCAUCUGCCAUGAAAACCGGAAGCACGUGGCUCAAAGCGCUCUGUUUCUGCAUCUUGACGAGCAAGAGACGUGAACGGAGUCGAGAAAACGGCAACAUCGCGGUCAGCACCGAUCGAGAAGAUCAGUCGGAAGACCCCCUCGCGGCUAACCACCCGGCGCAUUACGUGAAGACCUUGGAGGUCCAGGUAUUUACGGAGAACCCGCCUCCGGACCUCUCGGUCAUCGAGUCGCCGAGGUUGUUCCACACCCACUUGCCUUACAGCGCGCUUCCCGAAUCCGUCAAGGCCUCUCCAUGCAAAGUAAGUAUUGCCUAACCUUGUACUCUACGUUACCCAACCGAUCAUGAAUUAAGAAGCUGCGAGGCUUGCUUUGGUUCUCAUAGAAAAUGGGAAAAUCCUCCGUAUGUUUCACUUUUGCUAAUUUGAUCAUAAACUUUUUAGGUUUGCCAAUUAAAUUAUAAACCUUUUGAUUAUUCAUCAAUUAAGUCAAUCCCGCCAAUUUUAAUUGGAAAAUACUGACAUGAAUGUUGAUAGUGUUAAAGAGGACAAGCAAAGCUCACGUGAAUAAUUUCUUAAAAUAACUUUUGGAUAUUUAUUCUUUUCUUUUCUUUUCCUUUUCUUUUUCCUACCAAGUUCAACGAGGGUCCUAGUCACAAGUGAGGGCCGAUCAACCCUCACCUGCCACUUGGCAAAAGCUGGCGACCCUCUUCGGCCAGUGGAAGAAGAAAAAAAAGUAAAAGAAAGAAAAAUUAAUAAAUAAAAACUUGUUUUUUUUUAAAUUAUAAAUUCAUAUUAAGUGUCGAACAUACCACGUAAGACAGAUGGCAUCCAUGUCAGUAGCCAGAUAGACUCAAUUGACAAAUUAUCAAAAGAUUUAGAAUUCAAUUGACAAAAUUAAAAAAUUUAAGACUGAAUAAAUAAAAACACAACAGAUUUAGAAUUUUUUGAAAAAAUUUAUCGUAGAAAAGCUGAGAGUUUUCACGAUGUUUCCGCACCAUAAGCGAUUAGGUUCGCGCCUUUCUUAUAGAACGAGCCUAUAUCAUUUAUUUUUCCUCUCCAUGCAAGAUCGUCUACAUCACGCGCAACCCGAAAGACACCCUCGUCUCCCUGUGGCACUUCUUCAACCACCUCCGGACCGACGAGGAGGGCCCCUUCCCGUUCGAGCGCGCCUUCGAGGGCUUCUGCGAUGGGGUCUGCUUCUUCGGGCCUUUCUUCGAGCACGUGCUCGAGUACUACAGAGCGAGCUUAGCGAUGCCGGAGAAGGUGCUGUUCCUGAAGUACGAGGACCUGAAGAGAGACCCGAGAGGGCAGGUGAAGAGGCUGAGCUCGUUCCUCGGGCGGCAGCUGGAGGAGGAAGAAGAGGAGGUGGAGGACAUCGUCGGAGGUGCAGCUUGGAGAGGCUUAAGAACCUGGAGGUGAACAGGAACGGGGUCGAUCCGUGGGUGAACAUGCCGAACAGCGUCUUCUUCAGGAAGGGCGUCGUCGGGGACUGGAAGAGCUUGUUCACGGCGGAGAUGGCCCGGCGUCUCGACGAGAUCGCAAGGACAAAGCUUGAGGGGUCAGGACUCGACCUUGGCAUCGAUACGUGAUGAAGGCGUCUUGAUCCGGGUUUUCGGGGAGGAUCCAGUUCUUAGUAAGAUCAUUCCAAUAAAAUCAUCGAAUGAAUUUUGUUAUGGUUUUCGUUGCAAUGAUACAAUGUUCAAAUGAUGUUUGAUUAGCUAUUUCGUUAGAUACGCAAUUGGCCUCUGACGAGCAGAGCCGUCCCUAAAAGCCAAAAUAAGUUCUCUCGUUUUCACUAAUGAUGGCUUGUUGCCAUCGCUGGUCGAAUCCUUUAUACUGGCCGCUAAAGAAAAUGGGUGACUGCUACCCAUCAUAGGUAGGUGUGCAAAACGAGCCACCCGGAAUGGACUAAACUGGUUACUUUGGUCCGCCCCUUUGACCCGGAAUGGACCAAAUCGGCUAUUUUGAUCCAGUUCGUUUUUCUCUUGGAAAUAGGAAUCGGACCGGACCGAUUAUAUAUAUAUUGUAUCUGAAAAAAAAGAAGAGAGUGAUCAGCUUCUUUUUUAAAAAAAUUCUGCAUAAGAUAUAACAUCAAGUAUUGGGAAAAAAAAAGUGACCAGUUCCCGAUCAAGGACCAAUCGGUCCAGUCCCUAGUUCACCCUUAAUUUCAGGUGCUUUACGGAGGAUUUUAUGCCAUCUCCAACAGCGCAGUAUAGGGACGGGACGGGCCGCCUCUUAAAAAAGGGUUUAUAGACUAGAUGGGGCCGUUGGGACUGUAAUAAAUGGGCCAAGCCCAAAGCCCAUCAUUGAUCUAUAACUUCAACCCCUUCGAGCCCAAAGCCCAUUAGAGACCUAUAACUUCAACCCCUUCUAGCUUAAUGAAAAAGGAAAAAGGAGGACGGAGCAACCGAAAAUAAAAAGAAAGGGAAAAGGAAAUGGAGCUCGUCCUUGAAGGGGAAAAGAAAUCGCGGGAAAGAGAGAGAAUCUUUGCGUUUAGACAUUUAGGACAUUGCCAAAUUAAUUCUAUUCCGUAACCCCUGAUAAGUAUUAUGCUAUUUCUGUAAGGACUCAGGCUCCACUGUGUGAUAUUGUUCGCUUUGGGUCACCCGCCCUAGCGCGGACGAACUGCUAUCCCAACCACGGUCUUUUCUUUCACGGUUUUAAAACGCGUCACAUAUAUUAAGGGACUAAGCCUUAUAAAGGCUCCCACAACUCCCCCCUAAGCGAUGUAGGACAAGAAAAAUGCCUUUAGCCUCACUCGCGUACUAUCGAAGCGAUCUUAGUCCAUCCCUCCAUACUGCCCCAGGUCUGGGUUGUCACAUUCUCCCCCUUAAGGCACAGCCUGGUCCCACAUGCUGUGGGAGUCGGCUCUGAUACCAUUUGUAAGGACUUGGGCCCUACUGUGUGAUAUUAUCCGCUUUGGGUCACCCGCCUUGGCGUGGAUGAACCGCCAUCUCAGCCACAGUUUUUUCCCUCACGGUUUUAAAACGCGUCACACAUAUUAAGGGACCCAAGCCUUAGAAAUCCUCUCAGGACUCUCCCCCUAAGCGAUGUGAGUCAGGAGAAAUGCCUUUAACCUCACCCUCAUACUGCAGAGGCGAUCUUAGUUCGUCCCUCUAUACUGCCCCGGGUCUAGGUCGUCACAAUUUCAUUCUCUUAUCAUUCUCCAACUUUAUAUGAAAAUUUGACUCGUCGUAAUUAGCUUGAGUGAAAAUAAGACUAAUCCUCCUCAAUCUUUAAAGGAAAAAAAAUGUAAUUGGGAUAUUUAAAUGGCCAUAUACAGAUCCAAGUAAAGCACUAGCAUAUACAAUCAAGUCCAAAAGUAACCACUGGGAUUCGCCCCAGUGACCAUCCUUCCAACAUGAAAGAGAGAGGUGAGGGGUUCAAAUCCUCACAUUCUCAAGGGGAUGGGGUGGGGACGCGUAAAUUUCAGAAGUGAGUUUCGACUCCCACGCCCUGCAAGAGACAAGCAAAAGUCUGAGAGUGAAUGUAGAGUAAGAAUAAAGUAGAACCGACAAAAAAAAAGAAGAGUCCAAUUUGGUUUUCUAAUUCAAGUGGUCUUUUUCAUUUGUUGUGUUUUCAACUGAAAACUCGAAAGAGAACAAAUUGAAGGCCAUAUCGAAUCGAAGUGUCCCUUGCAAAACCCUCCUAACAUUGAAAUUUAUAGGUGGGAACGCUAUCCAACAUGUACAUAAAAAUACAACAUGCAUUUAUGAUUUGAUUGAAUUGAAAGGGCGCCUAUCACUCUCUUUGGAACUUUUGCGAUUCUUCUCUACUUUUUUUUUUUUGGGUGAAAUAUUCUUCUCUACUUAUUGUAAGUAAAAGAGAGGAAGGGACUGGGGGGAGAGAAAAAAUAUAGAUUAUAAUUAAUUUUGCCAAUUCUCAUGACAAAAUUAACUAAAUUGAGAGAUUAAUUAUGGGAGAUUAUUUCUCCAUAACACCUAUUUUUUAUGGGUAUGGUCCGAUUAUGAUCUUGAUUAAAUAUAAUGGGGAAUUUCGCGACUCUCGUACUUUGUAUAUAUCAAUAUGCGAAAAAAGACAUGAAUGUCAUCUGAUCCGUGGGGUCCGGUUUGCGUCCUCGUGUAAGACAAAGUCGGUAGUUAGUGAUUAAUAAUAGCGUCGUGUUUUCUGCUCGAAUAUCAAGGUCUAUGUCACCCUCAUUUAGUCUUGCUUGACUUGUUCUCCAAUGGUUGUUGUAAAAUAAUAAGCUGUGGUAGUGCUUAUUGACCGAAAUAAAUAAUUACUUGCGGGCAAAACUUCUAAUGGCUGUUCCGAUUAGUCCUACACCUCUCCUGUGGUCGGUUGCCAGCCAUGAUCGAGUAUCAGCUAAAGGCCAAAAGAAAUUGAGAGAGAGGAAAAAACGAAAAAAGGGAAAAUUUAUUCAAAUUAACGCUAAUCACACUACGUAGAAUUGCCAAAAUAAGUAAAUUGGCAAGUUAUCGAAAGUUUUGAGAUUAAACUAGCAAAUAGUCAAAAUAUUUAUUAUUAAAUUGGGAGUAAUCAAAAUGUUUAGCAUUAAAUUGGUACAAUUAAAAAUAUUUAGAACUAAAUUAAUUGUUGUAUAAUAAGUUUAAGUCUUUUUGAACAAUCAUCCCUCGAUAGGAGUCCAGCAUGAAACCUGGUACUUGGGAUGUAAGUAAAAGAGACUCUUUAAUUAAGAAUUUCUACCGUGCUAGAGUUCCUAUGAAGUGGGCAACUAACGGAAUGCCUUCACUGGAUUGAUCUACUGUAGUUAUGAUGGGUCCAUUGACUGAUCCAUGUGGCCCAUCAAAAAUAAGUUCAUAGCUACAUCAUUCAUUCUGUAAGUUAAGCAAAGUUUCGUGCAUGUUAGGUGGCAUAAGCUGUAGGAAAAAAUUGUAUCGUUACAUGGUGUGUGCGCUGUGGAGGAUAGGUGGCUUUCCCCCUUUUUUCUUGCAUCGUGGAGGCAGCUGUUUAGACACUUAGGUUUUUUGAGUUGCAAAUUGUCUUUGGAUAUAGAUAUUGAAAGUGGCCACAGUAGGGAUCGAGCCUUCACUAACCAUUCAACUCUCUCUCUCUCUCUCUCUCUCUCGGUAUGAAUAUCUCUUACCUGAACAUUGGAUCAUUCAAUUAUCAAUAAUAUUGCGGUUCAUUUGCAAGUUUUAUGUUUGGUCCUGCUAUAUGAGAAUCAGUAUCUGGAGCAAAAUCUCAAGAUCUCAUCCAGUUCACCAUCACAAGUUAAGAUUUUGAAACCUGAUAGAACUUGACUUUGAAACUAUGAUCAGGUAUUUCAAAGAGUUCUUAAAGCAUACGCCACAAAACUUUUUGCAAAACUACCUAAAGGUGGUAUGGGGCUUGUUGCAGCGGCCACAGGUAUAGAUGGACAGAUAAAGG
Molecule: long non-coding RNA, 10904 nt
Filed under: Eucalyptus grandis
Lineage: Eukaryota; Viridiplantae; Streptophyta; Magnoliopsida; Myrtales; Myrtaceae
Description: long non-coding RNA (EGRA_LNC007213)
Source: RNAcentral